UUAGGAAUCUUGCGCAAUGGGCGAAAGCCUGACGCAGCAACGCCGCGUGGGGGAAGAAGGCCCUCGGGUUGUAAACCCCUUUCAGUGGGGACGAAAAUGACGGUACCCACAGAAGAAGCCCCGGCCAACUACGUGCCAGCAGCCGCGGUGACACGUAGGGGGCAAGCGUUGUCCGGAUUUAUUGGGCGUAAAGGGCUCGUAGGCGGUUCGGCAAGUCGGGUGUGAAACCUCCAGGCUCAACCUGGAGCCGCCAUCCGAAACUGCUGUGACUUGAGUCCGGUAGGGGAGCAUGGAAUUCCUGGUGUAGCGGUGGAAUGCGCAGAUAUCAGGAGGAACACCAGUGGCGAAGGCGAUGCUCUGGGCCGGUACUGACGCUGAGGAGCGAAAGCAUGGGGAGCGAACAGG
RNAcentral lists this ribosomal RNA (405 nucleotides) under uncultured bacterium. RNAcentral's name for it is "bacterial SSU rRNA". It matches the Rfam family "Bacterial small subunit ribosomal RNA", at positions 355 to 776 of the family's 1533-position model. The record is from RNAcentral.